AACGACAUAAAAGUAUAAAACGGUUAGUACAGUAUAUAAAAUACUCCCAAAUAUAUCAUUGUCUCCAAUAUUUUGCUCACCUUUGAAGGAUGGAUCAUAGGCUAACGGUGUCCGCAAAGGGUCGAAUAAAAAGCAAACUUCGGUCAUGAUUUCACCCACUUUUGAUGAAAAAAAUAUCUACUGCAAUGCUGCAUCAGUCGCGUCGAGAAAGCGUCUAUUAAGCAACAACCUGGCAACAAGCGACACAUCUUGUAUAUAUAAUGAAAAAC
Non-coding RNA from Paramuricea clavata, 269 nucleotides. The record is from the annotation of a GenBank genome assembly. NCBI's taxonomy places the organism in Eukaryota, Metazoa, Cnidaria, Anthozoa, Malacalcyonacea, Plexauridae.